This 253-nucleotide ribosomal RNA is filed under the name uncultured bacterium. RNAcentral's name for it is "partial 16S ribosomal RNA". It matches the Rfam family "Bacterial small subunit ribosomal RNA", at positions 524 to 776 of the family's 1533-position model. The record is from RNAcentral.
UACGAAGGGGGCUAGCGUUGCUCGGAAUCACUGGGCGUAAAGCGCACGUAGGCGGAUUGUUAAGUCAGGGGUGAAAUCCUGGAGCUCAACUCCAGAACUGCCUUUGAUACUGGCGAUCUCGAGUCCGGGAGAGGUGAGUGGAACUGCGAGUGUAGAGGUGAAAUUCGUAGAUAUUCGCAAGAACACCAGUGGCGAAGGCGGCUCACUGGCCCGGUACUGACGCUGAGGCGCGAAAGCGUGGGGAGCGAACAGG